UACGUAGGUGGCAAGCGUUGUCGGGACGCUUAUUGGGCCUAAAGCAUCCGUAGCCGGUUCUACAAGUCUUCCGUUAAAUCCACCUGCUUAACAGAUGGGCUGCGGAGGAUACUAUGGAGCUAGGAGGCGGGAGAGGCAAGCGGUACUUAGUGGGUAGGGGUAAAAUCCGUUGAUCCAUUGAAGACCACCAGUGGCGAAGGCGGCUUGCCAGAACGCACUCGACGGUGAGGGAUGAAAGCUGGGGGAGCAAACCGG
This 255-nucleotide ribosomal RNA is filed under the name uncultured bacterium. Its description in RNAcentral is "partial 16S ribosomal RNA". It matches the Rfam family "Bacterial small subunit ribosomal RNA", at positions 524 to 776 of the family's 1533-position model. The record is from RNAcentral.